Long non-coding RNA from Syngnathus acus (greater pipefish), 1000 nucleotides. RefSeq lists it as uncharacterized. The transcript is spliced from 2 exons. Lineage: Eukaryota; Metazoa; Chordata; Actinopteri; Syngnathiformes; Syngnathidae. The record is from RefSeq and is a predicted model, not a curated record.
GUAUCUGGCCCCCGGGCCUUGAGUUUGACUUAGAGAGAGCUUCUCCGCUGUAUGUAUUAUCCAAAUUACGUAGUUGUCCACGAAAGCGAAAACUAAUUAUCAUACAUGUCUGAGACUUUUUUUUGUAAUUUAAAUAGACAAGUGACAUGUGUAUCAAAUUGUUUGGGGGGGGGGGGGGGGUUCAAGAGCAGAAAUUGAAAGGUUUAUUAAACUUAAAUACUAUACGCUUAAUAAUUUCAGAUAAUCUUAUAGUAUCUGUAGUGUCUGUGCAGCUCAUUUACAGCCAUUUUACAGAAGACUGAAAAGAUCUUCUUUACAUAGAUGCCAUAUAUUCAUAUUAUAUCAAUAGGUGUUAAUGUGAUACGUUUUCCUCUCAACUCCAAGUGUGUUUGUGUAAAUACUAAGUGUAUAAAAUGAUUGAAAGAACAACCUAAGGGGAGAUCGUGUAAUCACAGCAAGUCAACAGGAGGUCUUCAAAAUCCCACGCCACAGAGCAUCAGGCCAAUAUAAAUCUUUUAUUUCGUGCCAUUUUUCUUGCUUGACAGACUUUUAAUGAGCUUUUCAACCUUCUUUAAACUUAUUUAAUCCCACACAUGAAAGAAAAUAGCAAGUUAAUGAAGGUGAAAAGUGCAUUUAAGGUGUAUUUUAUAUUUGACCAAGAAGAAUGAUACACUCACUGCGUAUUGUGUGAAGUGCAACUAUAAUAGUGAUUGGAAAAUGAAGCUUCAAAAUGCUUCAUGAGCCAAUUGUUGAGUAUUUAUUCCAUUAGAUCACAGUCAUUUUUCAAAAUAGAGCUGAAACUUUCAGCUAAUGAUGGGAUAGUGAAGCUUCAAAUUUGCUCCUCUAGAUGGCAUUUUCCGGUUGAAACAAAAGGGGUUUAUAAAAUGGCAAGUUGGUGUGGAUUCAGCCUGAUAUUAAAUGAUGACUGCCAUCUAGAAGAGUCAAAUAAUACAAUUGGUUCAUGAACUCAACUGUGGUUGGAAAAAGGAGAGCAGCAAAA